RNAcentral lists this ribosomal RNA (1068 nucleotides) under Neoharaldiophyllum mirabile. RNAcentral describes it as "LSU rRNA". It matches the Rfam family "Eukaryotic large subunit ribosomal RNA", at positions 613 to 1825 of the family's 3401-position model. Lineage: Eukaryota; Rhodophyta; Florideophyceae; Ceramiales; Delesseriaceae. The record is from RNAcentral.
AGGGUAUGAGGAUGGUGGCCAUCGACCCGAUUCGACCCGUCUUGAAACACGGACCAAGGAGCCCAGCUUAUAUGCGAGUCAAAGGGUCUUGAACCCCAGGGCGCAGCAAACGCAAUUGUUUUGUAUAGAACGACCAGCAGUUUGAGGCGGCAUACGAUCAUUGAUUGUAGGUCCGACCUAGAGCAUAUAAGCUGGAACCCGAAAGAUGGUGAACUAUGCUUGAGUAGGGCGAAGCCAGAGGAAACUCUGGUGGAGGCUCGAAGCGGUGCUGACGUGCAAAUCGCUCGUCAAACUCGAGUAUAGGGGCGAAAGACUAAUCGAACCAUCUAGUAGCUGGUUUCCUCCGAAGUUUCUCUCAGGAUAGCAGUCCGACGAUAUUGUAUUGUUGUGUGUGGUAAAGCUAAUGAUUAGCGUAGUUGGGGGCAUUUUGUCUUCACUCGAUUCUCAAACUUUAAAUACGCACGGAUGUUGCUGCUUUAUUGAGCGGUAUCGUUAAAAAUGUCGGACUUGUGGGCCACUUUUGGUAAGCAGAACUGGCGAUACGGGAUGAACCGUAAGUAUGGUUAAGGCGCCAAAAUACUCGCUUAUAGAUCCCAAAAAAGGUGUUGAUUCAUAUAGACAGCAGGACGGUGGCCAUGCAAGUCGGAAUCCGCUAAGGAGUGUGUAACAACUCACCUGCCGAAUGAAUUAGCCCUGAAAAUGGAUGGCGCUCAAGCGUGUUGCCGACACCAUACCGUUUGAACAAAGUGGUAUUCAAAUGAGUAGGAGGACGUGGCGGCAUUGAUUGAGUGUGGGUAAGUCGUUCCUAAGCCGAGUGGUAAUGGCUAAUUAUCGCGCGAAAGGGAAGCAGGUUGAUAUUCCUGCACACGGAUGUGAAUGCGGUGACGCACCUCUGAGGCGAUGACGUUGGCGGUGGACCUGGGCAGAGAUUUCUUUUCUGUUUAACUAGUCUGAUCGCGCUGUGUGGAAUCCGCUUGUCGGGAGAAACACGCGUGUUGAGGAAGAGCGCCGGGAUUUUUCCGGCGUCCAGAGCUCCACCGACAGCCCUUGAAAAAUCGUCUGCAGGCC